This 617-nucleotide long non-coding RNA is filed under the name Nicotiana benthamiana. RNAcentral's name for it is "long non-coding RNA (NBEN_LNC017364)". The record is from RNAcentral. Lineage: Eukaryota; Viridiplantae; Streptophyta; Magnoliopsida; Solanales; Solanaceae.
GGAUCAACAGGAAACCCCUAAGAGGAAAUACAAUAAAUAAAAGUACACAGAAACCAUAGUGGAAACACUUAAGAGUUAUAUUAAAGCAAAAUAACGUAAGAAACCACAGUAGAACAAGUAAAAAUCAAGGAGACCCUAGGUUCGAGAAGACAAACAGUUUUGAAAGCAGAAACUUAAAAUGAUGUAAGGAAUACUUUGAAAAUCUCAGAAAUAGCACGGAUCUAAAGUAGAUCUAGGAAGAACCAAGAACACCUCGAAAUGGCAUAGGGUUUUAGAUAAACCCUGGAAACGAGAAAGGCCUGAAAAAAGGGGCUGGUCCGAGUCGAGAUGGACUCAAAAGGAUAAGACACGCCGGAGAUAAGUCGGAGAUGACCGUAGAACUUGAACCGACAAAGGUCCAGGUUCGAUUCUUCGUGGCCAAGGUCUGGAACUUCAGUAAUCAAGUGCGAUGAGCCUUAGGAGAUUGGGGGUGGUGAAACCACCAUGGAUUUAGGUCAAAAAGUGGCUGGAGAAGGUGAAGGGAGCUCAUCAGAUAGGAGAGGAGGUGGAAGGUUCCAGAGAGAAUGAGAGAUAGAGAGACAGAGACGAGUGAGUGAAUGAGAGGGCAUUGGGGGAAU